This 254-nucleotide ribosomal RNA is filed under the name uncultured bacterium. RNAcentral's name for it is "partial 16S ribosomal RNA". It matches the Rfam family "Bacterial small subunit ribosomal RNA", at positions 524 to 777 of the family's 1533-position model. The record is from RNAcentral.
UACGGGGGGGGCAAGCGUUGUUCGGAAUUACUGGGCGUAAAGGGCUCGUAGGCGGCCAACUAAGUCGGAUGUGAAAUCCCCAGGCUCAACCUGGGAACUGCAUCCGAUACUGGAUGGCUUGAAUCCGGGAGAGGGAUGCAGAAUUCCAGGUGUAGCGGUGAAAUGCGUAGAUAUCUGGAGGAAUACCGGUGGCGAAGGCGGCAUCCUGGACCGGCAUUGACGCUGAGGAGCGAAAGCUAGGGGAGCAAACGGGG